Tupaia belangeri chinensis (Chinese tree shrew) is the source of this 321-nucleotide non-coding RNA. The record is from the annotation of a RefSeq genome assembly. NCBI's taxonomy places the organism in Eukaryota, Metazoa, Chordata, Mammalia, Scandentia, Tupaiidae.
AUGGCCUGGACCUCUCUCCUGCUCCCCCUCCUCACUCUCUGCACAGGUUCUAUGGCGCCCUUUGUGCUGACUCAGCUAACCUUGGUGUCUGUGGCCCUGGGACAGACAGCCAGGAUCACCUGUCAGGGAAGCGGCUUAAGAGAGAGUUACGCUAACUGGUACCAGCAGAAGCCAGGCCAGGGCCCUUGUCUGCUCAUCUCUGAGGAGAACAACCGUGCCUCAGGGGUCCCUGACCGAUUCUCAAGCUCUAGCUCAGGUGAAAGGGCCACGCUGACCAUCACUGGGGCCCAGGCUGAGGAUGAGGCUGACUAUUACUGUUAG